GAGUUUGAUCGUGGCUCAGAUUGAACGCUGGCGGCAUGCCUUACACAUGCAAGGUCGAACGGCAGCACGGGAGCUUGCUCCUGGUGGCGAGUGGCGAACGGGUGAGUAAUGCAUCGGAACGUGGUCCUGGAGUGGGGGAUAACGUAGCGAAAGUUACGCUAUACCGCAUAUUCUGUGAGCAGGAAAGCGGGGGACCUUCGGGCCUCGCGCUCUUGGAGCGGCCGAUGUCGGAUUAGCUAGUUGGUGAGGU
RNAcentral lists this ribosomal RNA (250 nucleotides) under bacterium enrichment culture clone ALO1_GLFRUDD03FQ7T6. RNAcentral describes it as "partial 16S ribosomal RNA". It matches the Rfam family "Bacterial small subunit ribosomal RNA", at positions 9 to 258 of the family's 1533-position model. The record is from RNAcentral.